RNAcentral lists this ribosomal RNA (253 nucleotides) under uncultured bacterium. RNAcentral describes it as "partial 16S ribosomal RNA". It matches the Rfam family "Bacterial small subunit ribosomal RNA", at positions 524 to 776 of the family's 1533-position model. The record is from RNAcentral.
UACGUAGGUGGCAAGCGUUGUCCGGAUUUACUGGGUGUAAAGGGCGUGCAGCCGGGCUGACAAGUCAGAUGUGAAAUCCCGCGGCUCAACCGCGGAACUGCAUUUGAAACUGUCAGUCUUGAGUACCGGAGAGGUCAUCGGAAUUCCUUGUGUAGCGGUGAAAUGCGUAGAUAUUAGGAGGAACACCAGUGGCGAAGGCGGCUUGCUGGACGAUGACUGACGUUGAGGCUCGAAAGCGUGGGGAGCAAACAGG